UUUCAGCAACUGACGAAGGGUAUGGGAAGAAGGUUGGUAAGCAGAUAUUCUGAGACCUGUGGAAGUCUAACAUGACCUUGGGGAAGAAUUGGACAUCUGUUCGUAGGACCAGUUGAAGACAAAUCUUUUGAGGAUACCAUGGGCAGCCAGGAAAAGAAACAAAUGGGCCCUAGAACAAAUCAAUCCAGAAUUUUCACUUGAAGCACAAAUGACUAGGCUCAAACUAUCAUACUUUGGACACAUUAUGCGAAGACCCAGUUCCCCUGAGAAGUCCGUAAUGCUGGGAAAAGUUGAAGGCAAGAGAAAAGGACGACCAGCAGCAAGGUGGAUGGACUCGACCACCACAGCAAUGAAUGCACUGAGAGACCUUAAAGGCCAAGUUGAAGACAGAUCAUCCUGGAGAGAAUCUAUCUAUGUGGUCACAAAGAGUCAACACCAACUUGAUGGCACAUAAUCAAAUCAGUCAGGAUCUGGAGUAUGAGGGAGAUGCCUGACUAACUGACUUUGUUGUUCUGUACAGUUUCUGUAUCUCUCAAUCGUCUCAUUAGUCCUUUCUCUAAAAUGUGCUUGUCUAUCAAAGGGCAGGUUCACAGUUCAUGUACGUGCCUUUGGAGUAAGGCCAGAAGAGCAUAGCCAAGCAUGGUUUCGGAGAAUGAUGCAACUUGCCAUAUUCCGUGCUGCGCAGUCCAUUGCAUGUCUCAAAUAGCAAGAUCACAAAUGACAAUGAAAUUGGAAGAAAAUAGGAAAUAUAAUGAAAUAGGAAGAAAAUCCCAGUAACUGUCUGACAGCAUUUAGAUAUUUAUAUCGGAACUGACUCCUACAUGGACUUUCAGAUGCUGUAAGAAAACUGCAAAGAAAGAGCACCUGCUACUCCUCCUCCCCAGUGCUUGUGCAUCAAACUAAAGCAGCCAAGUACCUUAAUUCAGCACUGCAGGACCUCAAGGUAUGGGGAUCCUCACCUGACUCAAAAUUGGAAGAAC
This is a long non-coding RNA of Hemicordylus capensis (graceful crag lizard), 980 nucleotides long. RefSeq lists it as uncharacterized. Lineage: Eukaryota; Metazoa; Chordata; Lepidosauria; Squamata; Cordylidae. The transcript has 3 exons. The record is from RefSeq and is a predicted model, not a curated record.